This is a long non-coding RNA of Felis catus (domestic cat), 1952 nucleotides long. RefSeq lists it as uncharacterized. The record is from RefSeq and is a predicted model, not a curated record. The transcript has 2 exons. NCBI's taxonomy places the organism in Eukaryota, Metazoa, Chordata, Mammalia, Carnivora, Felidae.
GGCAGGGGAGCUCCAGGGCAGAGGCUGCGCUUGGGGAGCAGGGCAUGGGAUCUGCAGGAGGGACCAGGGACCGGAUAGGACCAGGCACGGCACAGGGGCAGCUCCCAGGCUCCAGCCAGGACUGUCCGGGAGGCUUAGGCCUGCACGUCCCGGCUGGGCUGGGGAAGCAGGUCCCAAAGAUGUGAGUCCAGGCCCAGAAAUGAGGAGGAAAUGCCCCAGUGGUGUCCCCUCGUCUCCUUAGGUCAGGGUCCCUGGGUGGGAAGGGCUGGGGCCUGAGACAUUGACCCAGGUUCUGUGGAGGUCACCUGCAGGCGGCGUCCCAGCAUCCACCUUUCCUUCUAGGUCCACCCAUGUGUCGUCUGGAAACACAGUCCCCGAGGUCAGACCCGCGAUCCAGGGACACCUUGGCCGCAGGGGAUUUGGGGACCCAGGUCUGGUCAAGGAAGGCCCACACUGCCUACGGUGAUUGGGGCCGGGACAGUCACAAGUCCCUGCCCAGACGAAUCAGAGUGAGCAUCAGCGUUGGUCCCAGGUCCAACAGGAAAGGCUCUGGCCCGUCCCACUGGCUGCAGGGAUUGGUUCAGGCCCAGUCACGUGCCUCCACCCCAUCCAAUCGCAGGCCCGGAGGUGUGAGGUGACGGACUCCCUGGACCCCUCGGUUCCAGAACCCAGACCCGACGAAGACCAAGAUUUGAGAGGGACGUUCUGAUGCCAUCGCUGGAGGGCUGGAUCCAGCCGUGCCUGAGUGUGCAGGGCAGGGCCGGUCUGCGGUGGCUACUGUCACUUCCAGCUCGAGGACCCUCCCUGCUGCCUGCGGUGGGACGAUCGGGAGCCGCAUCUGGGUCGUGCUCCUCCCAGCGCAGCCCUGAGCCUCCACCGUCGGGCUUGUUCUCAACCUUCGGGGACGUGAGCAGCGCCCGGGCUGUGGGGACCGAGGGGCAAUGCCCGUGUUCUCCCUGGUCUCCGCGGACUCCCCGGCCUCUCUGGUCUCUGGUCUCCUCAACCUCCGUGGCCUCCCCAACCUCCGUGGCCUCCCCAGUCUCCGUGGUCUCCCUUGUGUCUAUGUCCUCCCCAGUCUCCGGCCUCCCUGGUGUCCGUGGCCUCCCCUGCCUCUGCGGCCUCCUCAGUCCCCCUGGGGCCCUGGAACUCCCGAGGAGACGGGACACGCGGGACUGAGCGUGUCAGCAGCUGGAGUGACGUCCAGGCGGCACGAGCAGCCGGACCGUGGGAGCAGGUGGACCUGAGGGCGCUCGGAGCCGCGGACACGGGUGUGGGCGGUGCAGAGAAGGUGGGGGUGCUACACAGGCGAGCGACACCACAGCGGGCCGUGUGCAGGUACUGCAGGUGACCCAGAGAGAGCGGGGACACGGCCGUCACAGACUGCAGUGCGAGCAUCCCACCCCCCACCCCAGUGGGGGCACCUGACAGGCGGGCGGUCACGGUGUAAACGCUCAGGUGGAGCCCGGGCAGAGCUAGCAGCACGCGCACGAGGUACGCGCCAGGUAGCACGGAGGGAGCGUGGGAUCAGGGGACACGGGCGACAGCACCGUCACACGGUAGGGCGUGCGCAGGUGACACACGGCCCUUCACACCCAGGGGAAGUUCACGGGCGAGCGGGCGGGCCCAGGCAUGGCCCUCGAUUGGCCGCACCGACAGCGCGGCUGUGACCCACACACAGGCCGACUGACACCGGCCCCGGGACUCGGAGGUUAAGUGGGAAAGGGUCACAUGGGGCCCAGUGAUCCCUUCCAGCCUGAGAGGGGGAUGCUCGGGCCAGCCGAGUUGGGACACCAGGCUGUGGGGUGACAAGGACCCUCAGCGCGUCUUCACGCUUGUUCCGGAGGGGGAGAUGGGGUGCCGCACUGAGCCUCGUUUGCACCGCACGUCCCCGUUGUAACUCGUUACCCUUCGAUCGUCCGCAGAGAAGAACGUCAACACGUUUGUGUCAGACA